Danio aesculapii is the source of this 219-nucleotide long non-coding RNA. RefSeq lists it as uncharacterized. The transcript is spliced from 2 exons. NCBI's taxonomy places the organism in Eukaryota, Metazoa, Chordata, Actinopteri, Cypriniformes, Danionidae. The record is from RefSeq and is a predicted model, not a curated record.
GAAAUAAAUAUAUACCAUGUUAAUAGUUUAUUAUUAAAUCCUGCUUUAAUGGAAGUGCAGUUCCUGCUAGUUCGCCGGUGGCGCUAUUGCGCACAGAGUCUGUAUAGACUGCAGCAGAGUUAGGGAGAACUGCUGUGGAUGUGGAUGCUAAAGUUAAACCGUGUUGAUCUCACUGUUACUGCUCGGUGUGCAGGGCAAAAUAAAAUCCUCCUCAUCCGA